This 1372-nucleotide ribosomal RNA is filed under the name uncultured bacterium. Its description in RNAcentral is "bacterial SSU rRNA". It matches the Rfam family "Bacterial small subunit ribosomal RNA", at positions 28 to 1381 of the family's 1533-position model. The record is from RNAcentral.
GAUGAACGCUGGCGGCGUGCCUAAUACAUGCAAGUCGAGCGAACGGACGAGAAGCUUGCUUCUCUGAUGUUAGCGGCGGACGGGUGAGUAACACGUGGAUAACCUACCUAUAAGACUGGGAUAACUUCGGGAAACCGGAGCUAAUACCGGAUAAUAUUUUGAACCGCAUGGUUCAAAAGUGAAAGACGGUCUUGCAGUCACUUAUAGAUGGAUCCGCGCUGCAUUAGCUAGUUGGUAAGGUAACGGCUUACCAAGGCAACGAUGCAUAGCCGACCUGAGAGGGUGAUCGGCCACACUGGAACUGAGACACGGUCCAGACUCCUACGGGAGGCAGCAGUAGGGAAUCUUCCGCAAUGGGCGAAAGCCUGACGGAGCAACGCCGCGUGAGUGAUGAAGGUCUUCGGAUCGUAAAACUCUGUUAUUAGGGAAGAACAUAUGUGUAAGUAACUGUGCACAUCUUGACGGUACCUAAUCAGAAAGCCACGGCUAACUACGUGCCAGCAGCCGCGGUAAUACGUAGGUGGCAAGCGUUAUCCGGAAUUAUUGGGCGUAAAGCGCGCGUAGGCGGUUUUUUAAGUCUGAUGUGAAAGCCCACGGCUCAACCGUGGAGGGUCAUUGGAAACUGGAAAACUUGAGUGCAGAAGAGGAAAGUGGAAUUCCAUGUGUAGCGGUGAAAUGCGCAGAGAUAUGGAGGAACACCAGUGGCGAAGGCGACUUUCUGGUCUGUAACUGACGCUGAUGUGCGAAAGCGUGGGGAUCAAACAGGAUUAGAUACCCUGGUAGUCCACGCCGUAAACGAUGAGUGCUAAGUGUUAGGGGGUUUCCGCCCCUUAGUGCUGCAGCUAACGCAUUAAGCACUCCGCCUGGGGAGUACGACCGCAAGGUUGAAACUCAAAGGAAUUGACGGGGACCCGCACAAGCGGUGGAGCAUGUGGUUUAAUUCGAAGCAACGCGAAGAACCUUACCAAAUCUUGACAUCCUUUGACAACUCUAGAGAUAGAGCUUUCCCCUUCGGGGGACAAAGUGACAGGUGGUGCAUGGUUGUCGUCAGCUCGUGUCGUGAGAUGUUGGGUUAAGUCCCGCAACGAGCGCAACCCUUAAGCUUAGUUGCCAUCAUUAAGUUGGGCACUCUAAGUUGACUGCCGGUGACAAACCGGAGGAAGGUGGGGAUGACGUCAAAUCAUCAUGCCCCUUAUGAUUUGGGCUACACACGUGCUACAAUGGACAAUACAAAGGGCAGCGAAACCGCGAGGUCAAGCAAAUCCCAUAAAGUUGUUCUCAGUUCGGAUUGUAGUCUGCAACCCGACUACAUGAAGCUGGAAUCGCUAGUAAUCGUAGAUCAGCAUGCUACGGUGAAUACGUUCCCGGGUCU